GCCAUCGGAUGUGCCCAGAUGGGAUUAGCUUGUUGGUGGGGUAACGGCUCACCAAGGCGACGAUCCCUAGCUGGUCUGAGAGGAUGACCAGCCACACUGGAACUGAGACACGGUCCAGACUCCUACGGGAGGCAGCAUG
This 139-nucleotide ribosomal RNA is filed under the name uncultured bacterium. RNAcentral describes it as "partial 16S ribosomal RNA". It matches the Rfam family "Bacterial small subunit ribosomal RNA", at positions 217 to 353 of the family's 1533-position model. The record is from RNAcentral.